CCUGCAGACCUGCUUCACCGCCUGUGAAGCUCCUCCCCUGCAGGUGGGGAGCCGGGGGCUCGAACCGGGGUCCUUAUAAGUCGGUCCUUGCACGCUUAACCCGCUGCACGCCACGGCCCGGACUCCCGACAUGUGCUCUUAAGAGCAGAUUCCUGGGGACAGGCCUUUCACUGCAGCAGAGGCAGACAGUGUAUGGGAAGCUAAGAUAAUAGCCUCCGUAGGUCCCUCCCCCGUACCCCCAACUCCGACCUUUGUCAGAGUCCUGGGCUGAAUGUUCAGGCUGUUGUGAAGAGGAAAACCUCCCCACGGAAGGAGCAGGAACAGAUAAGAAGUAAAAGGCAGAGGAUCAGAGAGAGAGAAGCAGAAACUCCAGCACCCAAGCUUUCUUCAGUGCAGUGGGGGCUUUGCUCAGACUUGGGCUGCACACGUGACACAGCAGCACACUGCCCAGAUACAGAGAAACAGAGAAGGAGAAAGUAUAAGGAUACUGAGCUGCAGCUUCUGAGACUUAGAGUUUCCUACUCACCAAAUCAUUAAUAUGGAUUCUGAGACAUUGUGACUUGCCACCAGCCUCUUGGUCCACUUUCUCCCACGAUGAGGCACCUCAGGUCAGGCCCCUUGAGCUCCGAGCCCCCACCUCUUCUCACCCUUCGCAGAAACUCUUAGGCUGGGGGCACAAUACCAUCUCUGUUGGCGGGGAAGAGAUGUCUCCUCUCACUCCCCCACAACUCCCCAGUGGGGUGCCAGUCUCUGUCUGGCAGGACAUGCACUUCUUUUGAGUCCCACUCAGUCUGUCCAAGCAUCUAGUGGACUUUUCCCAUUAGCCAGACAGCUCAAAACCAAGUUCAUCAUCAUGUUCUCAGUCUUCAUAAACAGCACCAUUACCUUCCCAAAUGCCCAAACCAGGAACAUCAGCAAAACCAGUCUCUUCUGCAAAGUUCUCCCCAAUCCUGCCUAGCCCACUCUACCCUAUCUCUCGUCUCCAUUAGAGAGGCAUGCAGUUUCUCCUUCAGGGUGCCAUCACUUCUUACCUGUGGCUGUCUUUUCACGUCACCAGACCUCAGACCUCUAGAAGCAGAGUGAGCUUUUCUGUCUAUUGGUCUGAACAAAGGGUUCCCUCACUCUGAAAUCUUCAAUGCUCCCUUAUUUCUAAUACCCUCAGUCACUGCAAUUUGUCUCCAUGUUUCUACUUUAUUUCUUUUAUAUAUAACUUAUUAGUGAUUUAAUAGUGAUGAACAAGAUUGUAAGAUCACAGGGGUACA
Long non-coding RNA from Erinaceus europaeus (western European hedgehog), 1262 nucleotides. RefSeq lists it as uncharacterized. The record is from RefSeq and is a predicted model, not a curated record. NCBI's taxonomy places the organism in Eukaryota, Metazoa, Chordata, Mammalia, Eulipotyphla, Erinaceidae. The transcript has 3 exons.